Molecule: non-coding RNA, 385 nt
Organism: Drosophila suzukii
Lineage: Eukaryota; Metazoa; Arthropoda; Insecta; Diptera; Drosophilidae
Source: RefSeq, a predicted model, not a curated record
GCACAAAGUGUACAAAGAAGGAACUGAAGGCGGCAGGAGCAGGACGAACAUAAAGGACAUGCAGACGAAAUUUAUUCAUGCAAGUAAAUGCGGGAAAAAUGGAAAACGGCUGAGCUGGGAAAGGGGAAAGUACGAAAAUAAAGUAUCUGGGGAGCAUUGGUUGAUUUUAAUUACAACACUUUAAGCACUAAGUAGCUGCAAGUGGCCAGGAAAACUCUCUAAGCCCGGAAAAAUCACGCUCCCCUUACAACAAAAAAAAAAAACAAAGCAGCAGACGAAAGAAAAUUGCGUUGUCGACAGCAGUAACUUCAAGAUAUACGGCUGAGCAGGGAGUUUUCCUUGUUUUGCGUUAUGAAUCCUUAAUGUCUGACUCUGUACUUAUAAG